This 253-nucleotide ribosomal RNA is filed under the name uncultured bacterium. RNAcentral's name for it is "partial 16S ribosomal RNA". It matches the Rfam family "Bacterial small subunit ribosomal RNA", at positions 524 to 776 of the family's 1533-position model. The record is from RNAcentral.
UACGUAGGGUGCAGGCGUUAAUCGGAAUUACUGGGCGUAAAGCGUGCGCAGGCGGUUUGCUAAGACAGGUGUGAAAUCCCCGGGCUUAACCUGGGAACUGCGCUUGUAACUGGCAAGCUAGAGUGUGGCAGAGGGGGGUGGAAUUCCACGUGUAGCAGUGAAAUGCGUAGAGAUCGGGAAGAACACCAGUGGCGAAGGCGGUCCGCUGGGCCAUAGCUGACACUGAGGCGCGACAGCGUGGGGAGCAAACAGG